RNAcentral lists this ribosomal RNA (158 nucleotides) under Sporothrix cf. schenckii CMW 22860. Its description in RNAcentral is "5.8S ribosomal RNA". It matches the Rfam family "5.8S ribosomal RNA". Rfam says of the family: 5.8S ribosomal RNA (5.8S rRNA) is a component of the large subunit of the eukaryotic ribosome. It is transcribed by RNA polymerase I as part of the 45S precursor that also contains 18S and 28S rRNA. Lineage: Eukaryota; Fungi; Ascomycota; Sordariomycetes; Ophiostomatales; Ophiostomataceae. The record is from RNAcentral. RNAcentral also lists the same sequence under 1 other name.
AAACUUUCAACAACGGAUCUCUUGGCUCUGGCAUCGAUGAAGAACGCAGCGAAAUGCGAUACGUAAUGUGAAUUGCAGAAUUCAGCGAACCAUCGAAUCUUUGAACGCACAUUGCGCCCGCCAGCACUCUGGCGGGCAUGCCUGUCCGAGCGUCAUUU